GAUGAAGAACGUAGUGAAAUGCGAUAAGUAAUGUGAAUUGCAGAAUUCAGUGAAUCAUCGAAUCUUUGAACGCACAUUGCGCCCGUCAGUAUUCUGGCGGGCAUGCCUGUUCGAGCGUCAUUACGCCCCUCAAGUCCCCUGUGGACUUGGUGUUGGGGAUCGGCGAGGCUGGUUUUCCAGCACAGCCGUCCCUUAAAUUAAUUGGCGGUCUCGCCGUGGCCCUCCUCUGCGCAGUAGUAAAACACUCGCAACAGGAGCCCGGCGCGGUCCACUGCCGUAAAACCCCCCAACUUUUUAUAGUUGACCUCGAAUCAGGUAGGACUACCCGCUGAACUUAAGCAUAUCAAUAAGCGGAGGA
RNAcentral lists this unclassified non-coding RNA (358 nucleotides) under soil metagenome. Its description in RNAcentral is "partial contains 5.8S ribosomal RNA, internal transcribed spacer 2, and large subunit ribosomal RNA". The stretch from base 1 to 120 matches the Rfam family "5.8S ribosomal RNA", at positions 35 to 154 of the family's 154-position model. The record is from RNAcentral.